Molecule: ribosomal RNA, 258 nt
Filed under: uncultured Glomus
Lineage: Eukaryota; Fungi; Glomeromycota; Glomeromycetes; Glomerales; Glomeraceae
Description: partial 18S ribosomal RNA
Rfam family: Eukaryotic small subunit ribosomal RNA
Source: RNAcentral
AAGCUCGUAGUUGAAUUUCGGGAUCAAGUCGUCGGUCGUGCUUAGGUACGUACUGGCGUCAUUGAUUUCUCCCUUCUGACGAACCAUGAUGUCAUUAAUUUGGUGUUAUGGGAAAUCAGGACUGUUACUUUGAAAAAACUUAGAGUGUUUAAAAGCAGGCUCUCGCUUGAAUACAUUAGCAUGGAAUAAUGAAAUAGGACGUUCGAUCCUAUUUUGUUGGUUUUAGGAUCAACGUAAUGAUUAAUAGGGAUAGUUGGG